This 783-nucleotide unclassified non-coding RNA is filed under the name Hevea brasiliensis (rubber tree). Lineage: Eukaryota; Viridiplantae; Streptophyta; Magnoliopsida; Malpighiales; Euphorbiaceae. The record is from RNAcentral.
AAAAUAUGAAACAUAUAUAUAUCAAAAAAUAUAUAUUUUGCUCUUUUCAUUUGAAUCCAAGAAAUAAAAUUAGAAUCAUUUUCAAUUUUUUUCUUCCACAAUUUGUUUUUGCCAAUGACAUCAUAGUCCGUUAGAAAUACAUAAAAGUUUCUGGUGAAUAUAUUUUUUAAUACUGACUUUUUUUUUUGUUUUUCCUUAAAGCGGGAAUCAUCUAUUGGAUAGGAGGUAAGAUCUCUCUUCAUUUAUACAAUAUGUGAUCAUAUUUAAUUAAUUAUUACUUCUUUUAACGAUUUCUUUUACAUUUAUUUUCGCAGUGUAUUUGCCAGCGAUAUUGACUAUUUUUGGUAAGAAUUCCUUUCAUAGAUGAUUCUAGGGAAAUAGAGUCUAAUUAUAUGUAGAGACAACAUAUAUAAAAGCACAUGACACAUUAUGUAUAGCUAGUUAGAUUUUGUUGGGUAGACUAAGUCUAUAUCUUUAAAUAUGGACCAAACCAAUGAUAUUGUGGGAUUCUGAAUUUCAUUUCAGCAUUUAUGUUCUAUUCUAUGCAAACUUUUUGAAUUUAAUUCAAAAUACUGCAAUUUUAUUGAUUUAGUCUCCUAAAUUUGGUUUAAGCAAGAAUUAAACUUUAUGCGAUCAGAACUAAUAUCAAAUAACUAACGAUGUUUUAUACCCCUUGAUCUUGAUUGUUUCCAUAUAUUUCAUCAGGAAUGUUUCUUCUUGUAAGAAACUUAUGUGGGACACCAUGUGUAAUGGCAUUUCUCAUUUAUAAAUGGCGAAGGAGAC